GCUAUUGUUGCAUGUUGACAUACCUGAGUAUAUAUGGAGCACCUAUACAAUUUUGGACUGGAGAAAUUCUGGAGUUAAGUGGUAAAGAGAGCCUGUGGAAACUUCUGCAGAGUCUCAUGUUCUUUUGUAAUAGUACUUAAUAAGGAACAGAUUUGUAGGUUAUCUAAGCAGAUAACUCAAGAACUUGUUUCAAACUCUAAAGAUCCCUUUUGAACAGUAAUUUCAAGAAGUAUGUAUUAUCUCACUACACCUCUGUCAUAAUAUGUCAGCAUAUCUAGAUGUCUGUUUUCUAUGAAAUUUGUAAUCAGAGAUGGAUAUCAUCACUUUCAAUACUCUGCUAAUUGACCAAACUCUGCAUGGAAAAACUGCAGUUGGACAAACAUAGAUAUACCCAGGAUCUAGCUUUAAUGCUAGGUAAAUGAUUUGAUCUUUAGAAUGGUGUCCCAGGGAUGUACAUGUUGCUUUUAGCUACAGGCAACAACAGAAGGCAUAAGUGUUACUUAGUUCUGUCUCCUCCCAACGUAUCCUCUGUGUCUUGCUCUAAGAACAGGUGAACUUGAUGUUUGUGGACGGUACCAGCUGAAAUGCUGGGUUCACCUCCCUGUGGAGAAAACUGCUUGCUGAAUCUCCAGUGCAUUGCAAACAAAAUUAAACUUCUUGUAAAAGAAGAGAUAAGGCUGCUUACCCCAAACUGGAGCUUGCGAAACUGAUAAUUAAAAGAAGCCAGCUCAGUAGAAUUUCAGACAUGGCAAUGGAAUCUGCUCUAAUCAGUUCAGUCCCUACCACUGCAUCUCGUUUUGCCUUACUACAACUGGAAAGUGAUACUGAUUCAGAGCCUGGAAAAGGCAGAAGUGGCCGACGUGCUGGUAAAUCUCUAGCUUCAGGAGUGUAGAUCUAUAAAUGUGAAGAAAAGAGAGAAAAGAAGAAAAAGGAGAGAACAGCAGCAGAGUGAGGCCAAUGAUGUAAAGGGAUUGUAUUUUCAACAGUGAGUAAGGUUGUUGUCUCAUCAAGAGUUUUUGCUGUCCCUGAAAAGUCAUUGGUUUUGGUUUUCCCUGUGAAAGAAGAACUACUUAAUCGCAGAUUA
Molecule: non-coding RNA, 1084 nt
Organism: Anas platyrhynchos (mallard)
Lineage: Eukaryota; Metazoa; Chordata; Aves; Anseriformes; Anatidae
Source: RefSeq, a predicted model, not a curated record